AGAGUUUGAUCCUGGCUCAGAUUGAACGCUGGUGGCAUGCCUAACACAUGCAAGUCGAACGGGGGUAGUAAUACCCUAGUGGCGGACGGGUGAGGAAUGCGUAGGAAUCGGCCCACGAGUGGGGGACAACCUGGGGAAACUCAGGCUAAUACCGCAUGAGCUCGGGAGAGGAAAGCGGGGGAUCUUCGGACCUCGCGCUGGUGGACGAGCCUACGUCCGAUUAGCUGGUUGGUGGGGUAAUAGCUCACCAAGGCGACGAUCGGUAGCGGGUCUGAGAGGACGACCCGCCACACUGGGACUGAGACACGGCCCAGACUCCUACGGGAGGCAGCAGUGGGGAAUAUUGGACAAUGGGCGCAAGCCUGAUCCAGCAAUGCCGCGUGGGUGAAGACGGCCUGCGGGUUGUAAAGCCCUUUAGGCGGGGAGGAACGACUGGGUGUGAAUAGCAUCUGGAAGUGACGUUACCCGCGGAAUAAGCACCGGCUAACUCCGUGCCAGCAGCCGCGGUAAUACGGAGGGUGCGAGCGUUAAUCGGAAUUACUGGGCGUAAAGCGUGCGUAGGCGGAGAGGUCAGUCGGUCGUGAAAGCCCCGGGCUCAACCUGGGAACGGCGGUCGAGACGGCCUGUCUGGAGUGGGCUAGAGGAUCGUGGAAUUCCGGGUGUAGCGGUGAAAUGCGUAGAGAUCCGGAGGAACACCGAUGGCGAAGGCAGCGGUCUGGGGCCACACUGACGCUGAUGCACGAAAGCGUGGAGAGCAAACAGGAUUAGAUACACUGGUAGUCCACGCGGUAAACGAUGAGCACUAGACGCCGGGGGGGUGACCUGUCGGUGUCGCAUCUAACGCGCUAAGUGCUCCGCCUGGGGAGUACGGGCGCAAGGUUGAAACUCAAAGGAAUUGACGG
This 902-nucleotide ribosomal RNA is filed under the name uncultured beta proteobacterium. RNAcentral describes it as "bacterial SSU rRNA". It matches the Rfam family "Bacterial small subunit ribosomal RNA", at positions 8 to 916 of the family's 1533-position model. Lineage: Bacteria; Pseudomonadati; Pseudomonadota; Betaproteobacteria. The record is from RNAcentral.